Molecule: ribosomal RNA, 497 nt
Filed under: uncultured bacterium
Lineage: Bacteria
Description: SSU rRNA
Rfam family: Bacterial small subunit ribosomal RNA
Source: RNAcentral
AGAUUGAACGCUGGCGGCGUGCCUAACACAUGCAAGUCGAGCGGUAACAGGUGUAGCAAUACAUGCUGACGAGCGGCGAACGGGUGAGUAAUGCUUUGGAAUCUUCCCAGUAGUGGGGAAUAACCAGUCGAAAGAUUGGCUAAUACCGCAUACGUCUGUAAAGGGAAAGCGGGGGCUCGUAAGACCUCGCGCUAUUGGAUGAGCCAAAGUCGGAUUAGCUAGUUGGUGGGGUAAUGGCCUACCAAGGCGACAAUCCGUAGCUGGUCUGAGAGGACGACCAGCCACACCGGAACUGAGACACGGUCCGGACUCCUACGGGAGGCAGCAGUGGGGAAUAUUGGACAAUGGGGGAAACCCUGAUCCAGCGACGCCGCGUAUGUGAAGAAGGCCUGCGGGUUGUAAAGCACUUUUAGUGGGGACAAAAGCUACGGACUAAUAUUCUGUGGUCUUGAUUUAACCCAAAGAAAAGCACCGGCUAACUCUGUGCCAGCAGCCGC